RNAcentral lists this ribosomal RNA (427 nucleotides) under uncultured bacterium. RNAcentral describes it as "partial 16S ribosomal RNA". It matches the Rfam family "Bacterial small subunit ribosomal RNA", at positions 354 to 796 of the family's 1533-position model. The record is from RNAcentral.
GUAGGGAAUAUUGCGCAAUGGACGAAAGUCUGACGCAGCGACGCCGCGUGAGUGAUGAAGGCCUUAGGGUCGUAAAGCUCUGUUGAAUGGGAAGAAAAAAUGACGGUACCAUUCGAGGAAGGACCGGCUAACUUCGUGCCAGCAGCCGCGGUAAUACGAGGGGUCCUAGCGUUGUUCGGAAUCAUUGGGCGUAAAGGGUGUGUAGGUGGCCAUGUAAGUCAGGUGUGAAAGCCCCGGGCUCAACCCGGGAAGUGCACUUGAUACUGCGUGGCUUGAGUACCGAAGAGGGUAGUGGAAUUCCAGGUGUAGUGGUGAAAUACGUAGAUAUCUGGAGGAACACCGGUGGCGAAGGCGGCUACCUGGUCGAGUACUGACACUGAGACACGAAAGCAUGGGGAUCAAACAGGAUUAGAAACCCCAGUAGUCC